Molecule: RNase P RNA, 397 nt
Filed under: Alcaligenaceae bacterium
Lineage: Bacteria; Pseudomonadati; Pseudomonadota; Betaproteobacteria; Burkholderiales; Alcaligenaceae
Description: RNase P RNA component class A
Rfam family: Bacterial RNase P class A
About the family: Ribonuclease P (RNase P) is a ubiquitous endoribonuclease, found in archaea, bacteria and eukarya as well as chloroplasts and mitochondria. Its best characterised activity is the generation of mature 5'-ends of tRNAs by cleaving the 5'-leader elements of precursor-tRNAs.
Source: RNAcentral
GGGGCAAGUCGGGCAAUCGCGUGCUACGGUACGAGGAAGGUCCGGACUCCACAGGACAGAGUAGCGGCUAACAGCCGUCCAUGCCUUUGGCAUGAGGAAUAGGGCCACAGAGACGAGACUGUUAUGCGGGCUUGAGCAAUUAGGCACACAGGUGGCGACUUCCACUUGUUGCGGUCAAUGUAGCGAGCUGCGGUGACUUCAGCAUAGCAGGGUGAAACGCGGUAACCUCUACUCGGAGCAACAUCAAAUAGGCAUACGCACCGCAUUUAUGCGGCACAGGGCGGUCCGUCCGAGUAUGCGGGUAGAUGGCAUGAGCUGAUUAGCAAUAAUCAGUCUAGAUGAAUGAUUGCCGGCGAUUUAUCGCUUACAGGAUCCGGCCUAUAGACUUGCCCCACAU